GACCUCCUGGCCGGGGCCCACCGCGCCUGCUUCUACCGGGCGGGCGUCCUGUCCGCCGACCCCGGGCUCGCCCCCGGGGACGUCACC
RNAcentral lists this transfer RNA (87 nucleotides) under Planomonospora parontospora. RNAcentral describes it as "tRNA-Arg". The record is from RNAcentral. RNAcentral also lists the same sequence under 1 other name. Lineage: Bacteria; Bacillati; Actinomycetota; Actinomycetes; Streptosporangiales; Streptosporangiaceae.